This 4437-nucleotide long non-coding RNA is filed under the name Homo sapiens (human). RNAcentral's name for it is "HSALNT0331550". The record is from RNAcentral. Lineage: Eukaryota; Metazoa; Chordata; Mammalia; Primates; Hominidae.
GAAACUCCAUCUCAAAAAAAAAAAAAAAAAAAAAUUCACCAGAAGGAAAGUGCUUACCUAUUUGAACAACUCUGUACGGGUCUAUACAGUAUUCCAAGGCUCUUCAAUAAGCACAUGGUGAUGACCCAGGUCAGUCGUGGCAAGGUUGGGGAAUUAGAACAAACCUCUGUGGCAAACACAGAUUAUAGCUUGAAGUGAGCAUCACGGAUUUCUACAACAAACACUCUGACAAAUAUUUCCUGUGAUAAACAUCCACGUUCUCGAGGUGGGACAAUUAACCCAAACUUUCCAAAUUACAUAAAAACUUUUGCUCUAUCUAAUUAAGCUGAUAAAUUCAUUAUUUUAAAUGACAACAUACAAAAGAAGUAUAGAUUUUUACUUAAAACGUAUUGGAUAUGUGGGUAUUCUCUUGUCUUUCUAAGCAAAUGCUAAUAUCAGUUCAGUGCUUAACAAUGUCAGCAGCAACUGGGCCCUCUAAGUCUCCUGCUACUGAAGUUUGAGGGAUCAAGCCUCACCGUAAUUUUGACAAAGACUAAAUUCAAGAUGUCUGAGGCUUACAAUUUUCUUAUUCUACUUAAUGAGGUAGAGAAGUUCAUUUGGAAUUGAGCACUCCAUUAGACUGUUUCAGCUAAAUUUCAGGUGGCAUUUUCUAACAAUAAGAGCUGUUGAUGCUUUGGAAGGCAACAGGUUUGCUUCACUGGAAGUGAUGAUGGCCUUCCAGAAAGGGUGAGGCAAGGUUUUCUAAGAUCUCAUCCAACUAAAUGAUUCAGAAAGCGCCAGCCUGGGGAUUCCAGGUGCUUGUGACUCGGGGAUCUUUCUGCCAUCCCACCUCACCUGUUAGUCACCUUUUGAAAUUGGGUAUGAUUGAAAUGGAGUUUAGGGAAUGCUGUAAUAAUAUAUCUCUUGCUUGCCUAAUUCACAGAAACGUGCACAGGCAAACUGUGAUGCUAAGUGGGGGCUUUGAUCCUUUGAUGCCGGGCCCUCCUCCCACCCGGAGCCAUACCUAUUUCUCCCUUGCCCGUUCUCCUGCCUCUGCGUUCAGAUGUGCUUCAGGCCUGAGACAGGAGGAACCUAUCAAUGAAGGAGGAAAUGUUCCCCAGCUCCUCAAACACGAGGCCUCCUUCUGCAACUCAACUUUCUGCUCCCAGGACAGGAUAAUCUGAAGACCCCACCGCUUCACCUCAUCUGAAGACUCAGUUAAAGAGGAGCGGGCAGGCAGCUGGGGGAUUCAUUCUCUGGGAGUGGGAGCAGAAGGGAGCCCCUUGUCUUGUUUUUGUUCCUUCCCAGUUGACCCACAGCUGGAGUGCGGGCUGGGCAAGUAGGUGCUGGGCAACUUCUGGGGAGACUCAGGCCUCCUUAUUGGCCAUCACAAAGCCCCAGAGAAAAAGAUGCUUCCAAAAACUGCAAGAUAAGAGGAACAGGUAAAGGUCAUGGGAGGAUUAAGUAGAGCACAGCAGGCUGCUUCACGAACCCUCUGUGGCCUUCCCCAGGUGGGCCAGCAUGGCAGCUGCUAACAUUGAGUCUAGGCCAUCAGGCAAGGUGAAUUAGGGACAGUACCAGUGGGGAAAGUACCUCGGUGUAGCCCAUGCACUGUCUGCCACCCACCCAUGAAGUUCAACCUCUUCUAGUGCUCUUUUCUGUUUUCAUGGUCCUGGAGUGACUUGACCUCAUUUAGUCAUUCUAUGAUUAUCCCAUUUACAGGCAAGGAGCAUUUUUAUUGUUGUUAAUGCUCUUAACUCUAGCAAGCUAUGAAUUUAGGACGUGUCUGUGCCCUUUGGCAAACUUACUGUCUCCUUAGGAAUUUUGUGCCCGAUUUCUUUUGCUCUUCCAGACUGCUGCCCAUGCUCCUCUGCCCUGCCGAGCACUCUGGGAGAUGGACCUGGUUGGACACUAGAGCUCCACCCUGCAGCUUCCAGGUGGGCUCAGUAGAUGGAGAUCCUGGAGGAGACUGUAGAGCAGCUGCUGGCACAGUUGUCCUGGAGCUACCUGGGCCCAGAUGCCCCAGCUCUCUCCAUGCAGACCAUUCUACCUACCUCUCCUCUCAUACUGGGCUCUCCGUGUAGCAUGUGUUUUCUCCUGGGACCCUGAAGCACACAUCCAUUCUACUCAUGUAAAACAGACAGCUGCAUAAGAGAAAAUAAUAUAUUCACGUGUACAGCUGUUGGCAAGAAGUCUUCAGAGAUGGAGAAACCGAUGAAGAAUCUUGCUGCAAGAUCCCAACCUAUGCCAAGGGCCACUGCGAGAAGCCAGCAUGGACACGAAAUUCACACCCAGGGCAGCUCCUGUGUCUUCUGAGCCUUCUCAUGAGGGCUGCAAGCACAGUGGUCUGGUACUGCCUGCCUGUAAUGUUUUCUUUUAGAAUAGACCCUGUGUGUAGAUGAAAGAGCAUUCGACAUCAUUACUACGUGGGAUGCUGAGAACCAGGUGUUUUCUUCUCUGGGCAUAAGCUCCUGAGGCUCCCGAAAGUCUCAUCCUCCUGGGCCGAGGAUGCUGAAGGGAGCAGUGGGAUGGAAGGCGGGCCCAGAAAGCACACGGGCAGGCAGAAUCUGCUCUGCCCAGCUCCAGUGUCUUGUCUUUACUGUGCUCACCGUAUGUUUUCAGAAAGACAGGCCAAGAACAAAAGUGGGAGCCACCUAAAUGUCCAACCAUGAUGGUCCAUGAACACAGUGGAAUGUGCAAGAUAAUUGUGAAAAUUGUGCGGAAGUAUGGGGAACUGCUUAGGAUACACAACUCAUGUCUGUCUUGUGCACUGCUGUGUUCCUGGCACCAUGGGGGAGCGUGGUGCAGAGCAAGUUUCCUCAGAUGGCCCUUUGUGGAUGGACUACAGGAGCAGAGAUGUGCAAGAAGCAAGUUUCAGAAGGAAUUCAAACCAAAAUGUAGAGUUUGAAGGCAACAGUGACCUUUGCAAUCAUACCUCCCUGUUAUUCAGUAACAAAGCCACCACCAUGUAUCAAGCACCCACAGGCCACACCUGUCUUCUGGACGAUUUUCGGGGCAUCAUAUUUCAAUGUUCUGUCCAUUUCCAGGCACAAAGUGCUUUCACUCACAUUCGGUCCUUGCUGCAACUGCAAGCCACUGAAGACAGGUGUGUCUGAUCCCAACGUGGAGCCCACAGUAACAGCAAGCAGCGACUGUUGCUUGUGCAGGAGGCCCUGUGUGCCACAUGUUGCUCUUCACUACUGAUCAGGGCUGUUUACGUGGGUCCCAUCACAGCUGCUCUGUGACUAGGGAACUUGACGUCUCCAUUUUUCAACUGAAAACACAGAAGUACAAAGGGGUUCACCACCUUGUCCACGGUUGCCCUGCUUCUAACUGGUCAUGUUGGAAUAAAAACAAGCAACUGUCAUCCGGGAUAUUAACCACGCAGGCUGUGGUGUUGCAAAGCAGGGGAGCACGGAGCAGGGAGCAUACCACCCUGCUGAGAUCAGCUCACUCACAAGUGGCAGGGCUAGGGCUGCAGUGCAGCUCACUUACGGGCACUGUGUAAGCCUGAAAGCAAAGUCCACAUCCAAAGGUCGUAGUGGCCCCAAAACAGCUUCCUGACCUGCUUCUGUGGUCCCAGACCUCUUGCUGCUGAGGUACCUUAGCUUUCCAAUUACUCUUGCCAAUUCUGCCUGCCCAGUACUGCUAAAAGGCCACUUCCCUCCGUCCCAUGGCCUCAAACACACUUCAGAGAGAAUUUCUGGGCACUUUCAGAAGGCUGGUCACUACAGCACAAAAGAAGUCAAAGUUAUCGCGUUAGUGCUCCCAAAUCUGAGGCACAGUUUGGAGAUGGGGGCUCUGAGUCAAGGGGCAGGCUGGGGACUGUUCCGGUGCCUGUGACUAUGGGACUGAGUCAGUCACAGCCCCUCUCAUUUUCACCAGUGAAGGACAUAAUGUAUACAGUGUUGCAUUUCCAAGACAAAGUGCCUUAAAUUGGCUUAGGUCAGCAGACUACAGAAGAAACAGGAUAUUCGAGGCCCCUGCUUGGAUAGCUGAUGCCUGCUUGUAGGCCUCCCCCUUUCCCCGCUUACCCCCCAUUAGUUGCCUUCACCAGAACCGAAGAAGUUUAGUCUAAAAUGAAAGCUUACUACUAGCCUGCAAAAUAGCUCCCUUUGUCUGUUCUUAUCAGCCAGCCCAGCUACUUAGGUCGUAAGUGAAAUACUUGAAGAGCCCCUGAGCUGACUAGGAUUGCAAUGCAUUGUGGGCUGUGACAAAAUGCAGCAAGACAACCCUAAAAACAAACAAACAAACAAAAACACCUAAAGCCCCUGCCUAACAAUCAAUAGGUGACGUCCAGGAAGGUUGUGACCCCAUAGUACUCAGCCUGUGGGAAACUGGGGGAGGAGCCUGCACACUAGUGGACAAAUUGCUUGUUGAAACUGCUGGGUGUGCCUGUCCGUCAGACACCCGAUUUUGCAAGACUGACUGUUUAUUAAAAAUCUCACUUUCGCUGUU